GAACUAUGGCUCAGUGGUAGAGCUUCUGCUUUGUCUGCAGAAGGUCCCAGGUUCAAUCCCCGCAUCACCA
Molecule: transfer RNA, 70 nt
Filed under: Sphaerodactylus townsendi
Lineage: Eukaryota; Metazoa; Chordata; Lepidosauria; Squamata; Sphaerodactylidae
Description: tRNA-Thr
Source: RNAcentral